CCAGACUCCUACGGGAGGCAGCAGUGGGGAAUAUUGCACAAUGGGGGAAACCCUGAUGCAGCGGCGCCGCGUGAGUGAAGAAGUAUCUCGGUACGUAAAGCUCUAUCAGCAGGGAAGAAAAUGACGGUACCUGACUAAGAAGCCCCGGCUAACUACGUGCCAGCAGCCGCGGUAAUACGUAGGGGGCAAGCGUUAUCCGGAUUUACUGGGUGUAAAGGGAGCGUAGACGGCAGCACAAGUCUGGAGUGAAAUCCCGGGGCUUAACCCCGGAACUGCUUUGGAAACUGUGCGGCUGGAGUGCAGGAGGGGUAAGCGGAAUUCCUAGUGUAGCGGUGAAAUGCGUAGAUAUUAGGAGGAACACCGGUGGCGAAGGCGGCCUGCUGGACGAUGACUGACGUUGAGGCUCGAAAGCGUGGGGAGCAAACAGGAUUAGAUACCCCCGUA
Molecule: ribosomal RNA, 444 nt
Filed under: uncultured bacterium
Lineage: Bacteria
Description: bacterial SSU rRNA
Rfam family: Bacterial small subunit ribosomal RNA
Source: RNAcentral